UUCCCCCAGUAACGGCGAGUGAAGUGGGAAGAGCUCAAAUUUUGAAUCUGGCAGCCUCGCUGUCCGAGUUGUAAUCUCUAGAAGUGUUUUCCGCGCUGGCCCGUGUAUAAGUCCGUUGGAAUACGGCGUCAUAGAGGGUGAGAAUCCCGUCCUUGACACGGACAACCAGUGCCUUGUGAUACACUCUCGAAGAGUCGAGUUGUUUGGGAAUGCAGCUCAAAAUGGGUGGUAAAUUCCAUCUAAAGCUAAAUAUUGGCGAGAGACCGAUAGCGAACAAGUACCGUGAGGGAAAGAUGAAAAGCACUUUGGAAAGAGAGUUAAACAGUACGUGAAAUUGUUGAAAGGGAAACGCUUGAAGUCAGACGUGCGGGCGGAACUCAGCCUUCCUUCGGGUCGGUGUAUUUUCCGUCAUGCAGGCCAGCAUCGGUUUCGGGCGCCGGAUAAGGGUCGGGGGAAUGUGGCUGCUCCGGCAGUGUUAUAGCCCCCGACUUGAUACGGCGCCCGGGACCGAGGGACGCAUUUUUAGGAUGCUGGCAUAAUGGCUUUAAACGACCCGUCUUGAAACACGGACCAAGGAGUCUAACAUGCUUGCGAGUGUUUGGGUGGCAAACCCGGGCGCGCAAUGAAAGUGAAUGGAGGUGGGAUCCGUAAGGUGCACCAUCGACCGGUCCUGCGUUUCGACAAUGGAUCUGAGUAAGAGCACGUAUGUUGGGACCCGAAAGAUGGUGAACUAUGCCUGAAUAGGGCGAAGCCAGAGGAAACUCUGGUGGAGGCUCGUAGCGGUUCUGACGUGCAAAUCGAUCGUCAAAUUUGGGUAUAGGGGCGAAAGACU
RNAcentral lists this ribosomal RNA (832 nucleotides) under uncultured fungus. RNAcentral describes it as "eukaryotic LSU rRNA". It matches the Rfam family "Eukaryotic large subunit ribosomal RNA", at positions 75 to 932 of the family's 3401-position model. Lineage: Eukaryota; Fungi. The record is from RNAcentral.